This 308-nucleotide ribosomal RNA is filed under the name uncultured Pseudomonas sp. RNAcentral describes it as "bacterial SSU rRNA". It matches the Rfam family "Bacterial small subunit ribosomal RNA", at positions 1075 to 1382 of the family's 1533-position model. The record is from RNAcentral. Lineage: Bacteria; Pseudomonadati; Pseudomonadota; Gammaproteobacteria; Pseudomonadales; Pseudomonadaceae.
UUGGGUUAAGUCCCGUAACGAGCGCAACCCUUGUCCUCAGUUACCAGCACGUUAUGGUGGGCACUCUAAGGAGACUGCCGGUGACAAACCGGAGGAAGGUGGGGAUGACGUCAAGUCAUCAUGGCCCUUACGGCCUGGGCUACACACGUGCUACAAUGGUCGGUACAAAGGGUUGCCAAGCCGCGAGGUGGAGCUAAUCCCAUAAAACCGAUCGUAGUCCGGAUCGCAGUCUGCAACUCGACUGCGUGAAGUCGGAAUCGCUAGUAAUCGUGAAUCAGAAUGUCACGGUGAAUACGUUCCCGGGCCUU